UGGUGAUGUUUCCACCAUCGUUGCUUAACUAUUUACAUAAUCAGAAUUACGUAAGUGACAUGGAAAAGCCACUGACUACCUCUGACAGCCAUGAAUAAAAGACAGGGACUAUAACAAAUGUAGUAAUCACAGCCAUGAAUAAAAGUUAGUCACCAAAACAGUAAUCAAUAAGCUGAAACAUGUGGAUCCCUCUUUGGCCCUCUGGCCCAGGGGCUAUUAUCUACAGAACUUUAGCACGUCAGAUGUGUCAACAACAAAGUGUUCCAGAACGGAACCCCCAGUCAGGGUGAAGGUGACAGCAUCUUGUUUUGUGUCUGUAGUUUGUUUCUCAGGAGGACCACCCUGGAUAAACUUCACAUACUGUAGAUAGUGAACCUGGGACUGCCCAGAGAUAAUGCAGAGAUAAUAAAGAAACAGUCAGACUGACACCUGAUCUUUAACUGGAGGGACACAUGUUGCAAGGACCAAACAGCUGUCUUGUUCUUAGAUGUCUGAGGCAUUGACCUGCUCACUGUCUUAGUCUACCUGGUUUCUCCACUGAGGCUUCUCAAGCCAGCAUGAGUGUCUGGAGUACUUUCUGAGGUCCUGGACUCCUCUACGUCUGGAGUAUGCCUGAGGUCCUGGACGCCUCUACGUCGGGAAUAUGCCUGAGGUCCUGGACGCCUCUACGUCGGGAAUAUGCCUGAGGUCCUGGACGCCUCUACGUCUGGAGUAUCCCUGAGGUCCUGGACGCCUCUACGUCUGGAGUAUGCUUGAGGUCCUGGACGCCUCUACGUCUGGAGUAUGCUUGAGGUCGUGGUCGCCUCUAUGUCUGGAGUAUGCCUGAGGUCCUGGACUCCUCUACGUCUGGAGUAUGCCUGAGGUCCUGGACUCCUCUACGUCUGGAGUAUGUGUGUCGUCGCCCCCCCUCCCCGAGUGUGCGGGAACUCCAUAGUGGGCUGUGUGGGGAAGCUCAGUGUGUCCCCCGGCCAGACACGAAGACUAGAAGCUUCUUGACGGUCAGAGACUCACAUCCCUGAAGAAGACACAAACAAAGACAAUAUGACCUAGGAUGAAUCUUGAGAGGCUGACGUACUUCUCCUAAACAUAAUGCAUUACUAUUCAUAUAUAAAAACAUUCUCUCCUUGAUCUCCUCUAUUAUGCCUGUUUCCAGGACCCAGAUUCAGCCGUGUCCUGGACUAAAAAUCAUCCAUGAUGAUUAAUCAGUUGCAUUGAAGAUUGAUGACAUUUUCCUUACACUCCACCCCAAUAAGCCAGUCCCUCCAGUAGCCAUACGUUAUGUUCUCAGCUAUUCUCUCAUCACUACCGGGGGCUGAGAAGUUCACGUGGAAGAGCGUGAGGUCUACUGCAGAGAGAGGUCUGGCUAGUAAUAUCUGCUUGAAUACAGCAGGAUGCCUCUAGCAAGCCCAAUGUAGCCAGUCCUCCUUUCAUUUGGUUUAAACAACAAAAAGGACAACACAGAGUGAGGGACACAAGAGACUGAGCUCAUAAAAGUAAUUACUGUAAAGGGUUUUAUCUCACAGCAGUGCCAAAAGUGACUAGGCCCAACUCAGCAGUUAUUGUACAAAACAUACUUAAUGGUCCACAUGACAACCAAACAUCCAAAUAGCCCCUCGCAGCAAACCGCACAAUGUCUUCCCUGUCCUCCCAUGUUUGGACAGGGCUGAGGACCCCCAGCGGACGCAGAAUUAAAGACUCCUCCUCCAUGACCUCACUAGCAGCCUCCAGGGUUGUGGCCGCCUUAAGCUGUGGGUUGAAUGACACGAUAUCACAAUGCAAAUCACAACCCCAGGCCUGUAUUCACAAAGCAUCUCAGAGUAGGAGUGCUGAUCUAGGAUCAGUUUCCCAUUUUAGAUCAUAAUGAAUAAGAAUAUACAGGUCACUGCCAAAAUAAAGGAAACACUUACUGCCUUUGUCAGUCGAUAGGAACAUUCGCCCGAGCUAUUUAGGAGGGAUAUCACACCUGGCACAAAUGGUUGUCUAGUUCUGUUUUUCCUGCUGAGGGGUGCUCUAUACCUGCGCCCAGAGGGGAGUAGUUCAACGUCCAGGUACAGGGGGUGGCUUGGGUCUAAAAUGAUUUUGUGAGCCUUGUGGAGGGCCCUGACCUUAAAGAUCUCAUCCAGACCUGUCUGUUUGACUCCAAGUACCUUGCUUGCUGUGGUAAUAAUCCUUCUCAGCAUAUUUCUCAGGCUGACAGUGGCAUUGCCAAACCAACAAACAUGAAAACAAUGUAAGCCAUAUGAUGUGUCCGUCUCAGUCACCAGAUCUCAACCCAAUUGAACACAUAUGGAAGAUUCUGGAGCAGAGCCUGAGACAGCAUUUUCCACCACAAUCAACAAAACACCAAAUGAUGGAAUUUCUCAUGGAAGAAUGGUGUUGUAUCCCUCCAACAGAGUUCCAGACACUUGUAGAAUCUAUGCCAAGGUACACUGAAGCUGUUCUGGCUCGUGGUGGCCUAACGCCCUAAUAAGACACUAAUUAUUGGCAUUUCCUUUAUUUUUGCAGUUACCUGUAUGUACAGGAAGGACCUGAUCCAAGAUCAGAACUCCUAGUCUGAGAAGCUAUGUGAAUACAAGCCCAGGGCUCAGGCUACAAACACAAACCAAUAUAUACGGCAAAGAACACAUGAACAUGUCACAUGCCUUCUCCAGCCUGGCUCGUAUUUCCUGGUGUGAUCUCGUCCAGGGCCACAGGAGCAGAGGGAAGACCACAGAUCAUGUCAAACGUUCUCCUGGACAGGAAGUGGGGCCAUAUCUCACCACUCAGACACUGGUCAUGCUCUCCACCAGCCUGUACAUUAUCCCAGGCUGAAACUAAAACAUGGUACAAGUUAAUACCACCUUAUUAAAAUAAGGGGGGUUUUUACUAUGGAAAGCACAUAAGAGGCCACCAAUCUAUGUAGUAAUAUACCAUAUAAGACCUUAUAGUUCACUCUGCUUGGAAUACACUGAAAGUGAUACAACAGGACAGUGUUCUAGGAUUAGAUAGAAAGUGUCAUAUUUGAACAUAUAAACAGUGCGAUCUUACAAUACUAGUGCAAUACUAGGCUUUUGCAGUGGUCUGGCCCCUGGAACAAACAACAGUCUUGGAUGGCUGCCAUCAACAGCCGAAUGAACUCCUGUGUUUAACCAUGUUGGUCGACUGACCCCUCACAUUGAACCUCUGAGGUUGAAUAGUUUCCAGCUGAAUGCCUUGGUGGCAGAGCGGAGUACGUCCUUUCGUAAAAUAAUCGGCGUGUUCUCUUCCAUGUUCUCCGGAUGGGACACCUGGGAGGCCACGGCAGACAGCAGUGUACCUGUAGGGGAACC
Long non-coding RNA from Oncorhynchus tshawytscha (Chinook salmon), 3308 nucleotides. The record is from Ensembl. Lineage: Eukaryota; Metazoa; Chordata; Actinopteri; Salmoniformes; Salmonidae.